GGAUCUUCCAGAGAUUAGAGUUUGAUCCUGGCUCAGAUUGAACGCUGGCGGCAGGCCUAACACAUGCAAGUCGAACGGUAACAGGAAGCAGCUUGCUGCUUCGCUGACGAGUGGCGGACGGGUGAGUAAUGUCUGGGAAACUGCCUGAUGGAGGGGGAUAACUACUGGAAACGGUAGCUAAUACCGCAUAACGUCGCAAGACCAAAGAGGGGGACCUUAGGGCCUCUUGCCAUCGGAUGUGCCCAGAUGGGAUUAGCUAGUAGGUGGGGUAACGGCUCACCUAGGCGACGAUCCCUAGCUGGUCUGAGAGGAUGACCAGCCACACUGGAACUGAGACACGGUCCAGACUCCUACGGGAGGCAGCAGUGGGGAAUAUUGCACAAUGGGCGCAAGCCUGAUGCAGCCAUGCCGCGUGUAUGAAGAAGGCCUUCGGGUUGUAAAGUACUUUCAGCGGGGAGGAAGGGAGUAAAGUUAAUACCUUUGCUCAUUGACGUUACCCGCAGAAGAAGCACCGGCUAACUCCGUGCCAGCAGCCGCGGUAAUACGGAGGGUGCAAGCGUUAAUCGGAAUUACUGGGCGUAAAGCGCACGCAGGCGGUUUGUUAAGUCAGAUGUGAAAUCC
RNAcentral lists this ribosomal RNA (621 nucleotides) under uncultured bacterium. RNAcentral's name for it is "bacterial SSU rRNA". It matches the Rfam family "Bacterial small subunit ribosomal RNA", at positions 1 to 602 of the family's 1533-position model. The record is from RNAcentral.